RNAcentral lists this ribosomal RNA (238 nucleotides) under uncultured bacterium. RNAcentral describes it as "partial 16S ribosomal RNA". It matches the Rfam family "Bacterial small subunit ribosomal RNA", at positions 96 to 334 of the family's 1533-position model. The record is from RNAcentral.
CGGCGGACGGGUGAGUAACGCGUGGGUAACCUACCCUGUACACACGGAUAAUAUACCGAAAGGUAUGCUAAUACGGGAUAAUAUAUUUGAGAGGCAUCUCUUGAAUAUCAAAGGUGAGCCAGUACAGGAUGGACCCGCGUCUGAUUAGCUAGUUGGUAAGGUAACGGCUUACCAAGGCGACGAUCAGUAGCCGACCUGAGAGGGUGAUCGGCCACAUUGGAACUGAGACACGGUCCAA